AUGGCGCGGCAAAUCGUGCCUUCUAGAAGCUUCCACCGCCUUCUCACCUCUCGGCACUACCCGCUCGCCUCCCCGGCGCCACCGCUCCGCCCUCUACUUCUACCGAAAGCCCUAUCUCGGGCCACCGCCGCCGCCUCCCCGCAACUCCCUCGCCGGGGGCGACGUCCCGUCGUCGCCGCCUCCGCCUCCGCCCCAGCGCCUUCCUCGCCGGAGACCGAGGCGGUGCCGGGGGCAUGGGGGAAGGUCUCGGCCGUGCUAUUCGAUAUGGACGGCGUGCUCUGCAACAGCGAGGAGCCGUCGCGCCGCGCCGCCGUGGACGUCUUCGCCGAGAUGGGCGUCGACGUCACCGUGGAUGACUUCAUCCCCUUCACGGGCACAGGCGAGGCCAAUUUCCUUGGAGGUGUUGCCAGGGUGAAAGGAGUGAAAGCUUUCAGUACUGAAAGCGCCAAGAAGCGCUUUUUUGAGAUAUACCUUGACAAGUAUGCUAAACCAAAUUCUGGAAUUGGGUUCCCAGGGGCUCUGGAACUCAUCAUGGAGUGCAAAAACGCAGGUCUGAAGGUCGCUGUUGCAUCUAGCGCUGAUAGGGUUAAGGUUGACGCAAAUCUGGCGGCUGCUGGUUUGCCUGUAUCGCUAUUUGAUGCUAUUGUUUCCGCUGAUGCUUUUGAAAAUUUAAAGCCUGCUCCAGACAUAUUCCUUGCAGCAUCUAAGAACUUAGGUGUUGACACGGAUGAGUGCAUCGUGAUAGAAGAUGCGCUUGCUGGAGUUCAAGCUGCGAAAGCUGCGGAAAUACGAUGUAUUGCUGUGACGACUUCUCUAGAUGAAGAUGCAUUACAACAAGCCAGUCCUGUGUUCAUCAGAAAAGACAUUGGAGAUAUUUCAAUUAAUGACAUCUUGUAUGGUGGUUCUAAUGCUUACCACAUUGAUGCAGAUGAACGGACAGAAAAUACCGAGAAUAUUAGUUCCUUAGGAAAUGCUUCUCCUGAAAUUCUGAAUGGAGCAACUAAUGCUGAAUCUGUUGAGAAUACAAACUCUUCAAGUUCGAAAGGCCAAGGGUUGUUGGGUUCUCGUCGGGAUAUAUUAAGAUAUGGAAGUCUUGGAAUAGCUUUUUCAUGUCUUUUCUUUACAAUCGGAAAUUGGAAGGCAAUGCAGUUCGCAUCUCCUAAAGGUCUGCUUAAUUUUUUCACGGGUGGGAACAGUUCAAUUUUUGCAACUAAUGAAGGAGAAUCACUGUCAUCAAGAGUUCAGCAAAUAAAGAAGUAUUUAGCUGAUUUUGAAACUGGGGGCUCUGCCACUUACGUACCUGAGUUCCCAAGAAAGCUCGACUGGCUGAAUACAGCCCCACUUCAGUUUGGAAGAGAUUUAAAAGGAAGAGUAGUCGUGUUGGAUUUUUGGACAUACUGCUGCAUCAACUGCAUGCAUGUCUUGCCAGACCUGGAGUUUAUAGAGAAGAAGUAUAAAGAUAAACCUUUCACUGUUGUUGGUGUGCAUUCUGCCAAAUUUGAUAAUGAAAAAGAUCUUGAAGCCAUCCGCAGUGCUGUCCUGCGCUACAAUGUUACUCAUCCAGUUGUAAAUGACGGUGACAUGUACUUGUGGAGAGAACUGGGGGUGAACUCUUGGCCGACGUUUGUGGUUGUCGCGCCCAAUGGAAAGGUUCUAGCACAAAUAUCAGGCGAAGGCCACAGAAAGGACCUUGAUGACGUAGUUGGUGCAGCACUUGAGUUUUAUGAUGAAAGGAAAUUACUACAGAAUAAUUCCCUCCCCUUGGCAUUGGAGAAGGACAGGGAUGGUCGAUUAAUAACUUCACCACUAAAGUUUCCUGGGAAACUUGCAAUUGAUGUACAGAACAAUCGAUUAUUUAUAUCAGACAGUAACCACAAUCGAAUUGUGGUCACUAACCUGGACGGGGAAUUUAUAUGCCAAGUUGGAAGUUCGGAAGAAGGACUACUUGAUGGCCAAUUUGAUACUGCCUCGUUUAAUCGCCCUCAAGGUCUUGCAUACAAUUUCAAAAAGAAUAUCCUAUAUGUAGCGGACACUGAGAACCAUGCACUGCGAGAGGUUGAUUUUGUUAACGAGACUGUCAGAACACUAGCUGGAAAUGGGACCAAAGGUUCCGACUACGAAGGAGGAGGCCGAGGAACUAAUCAGGUUCUAAAUUCACCAUGGGAUGUCUGCUAUGCUCCCUCGGAGGAGACCGUGUACAUUGCGAUGGCGGGACAACAUCAAAUCUGGAAACACAACACCCUUGAUGGUGUAACUGAAGUUUUCAGUGGUAAUGGCUCCGAAAAAAAUCUGAAUGGUUCAAGCCCCACCAACACAUCGUUUGCGCAGCCAUCUGGGAUUUCAUUGGAUCCUGAACUGGAGGAGUUAUUUGUUGCUGAUAGUGAAAGCAGUUCCAUUCGAGCUGUUAAUUUGAAGUCAGGGGGGUCAAGAUGGCUUGCUGGGGGAGAUCCAAAUUUUCCAGAUAAUUUGUUUAGGUUUGGCGAUCAUGAUGGGACUGGCUGGGAUGUGCUACUCCAGCAUCCCUUGGGUGUUGUCUAUGCUAGCGAUAAUCAAAUAUAUGUUGCAGAUUCCUAUAAUCACAAGAUAAAAAAGUUAGAUCCCGUCACAAAAAAAGUUACAACGAUUGCUGGUACUGGACGUGCAGGAUACAUGGAUGGUGAUGCCUUGUCAGCUCAACUAUCUGAGCCAGCAGGACUUGUUGAAGUUGGAGAAGGAAGAUUUCUUGUAGCAGAUACAAACAACAGUGCAAUCAGAUCUAUAGUUCUGAAUGAGAGAGGUGCUGAGGUGCGCACACUAGAUUUGACUGGAGUGCAGCCGCCAUCACCAAAACCGAAGGCGUUGAGACGCCUAAGACGACGGUUAUCAGCAGACACAAAUGUUAUUAAUGUUGAUGGUGGUUCCUCAAUGGAAGGAUAUGUGUCUCUUGCAAUCUCAGUUCCUUAUGGUUACCAUUUCUCGAAGGAAGCUCGCAGCAAAUUUGAUGUGGAAACAGAACCAGCUAAUGCAAUUGAGAUCGAGCCAGUGAAUGGAUCUCUAAACUCAGAUGGGCAGGCGUCACUCAAGUUCAAAAGAACAUCAUCAUCAUCAUCAACAGGAAGGAUCAACUGCAAGGUUUACUACUGCAAAGAAGAUGAAGUUUGUCUUUACCAAUCUGUGGCUUUUGAUGUCAAAUUCCAAGAGGGGGUACCCAGUCCUGCACCAAUUACUCUAGCCUAUACUGUGGUGCCGAGAGAUAAUUCAGGGAGUUCGCAGUUAAUGGCUGCUGGUAAGAACUUGUAA
RNAcentral lists this ribosomal RNA (3279 nucleotides) under Triticum aestivum (bread wheat). RNAcentral describes it as "partial small subunit ribosomal RNA". Lineage: Eukaryota; Viridiplantae; Streptophyta; Magnoliopsida; Poales; Poaceae. The record is from RNAcentral.